RNAcentral lists this ribosomal RNA (253 nucleotides) under uncultured bacterium. Its description in RNAcentral is "partial 16S ribosomal RNA". It matches the Rfam family "Bacterial small subunit ribosomal RNA", at positions 524 to 776 of the family's 1533-position model. The record is from RNAcentral.
UACGAAGGGGGCUAACGUUGCUCGGAAUGACUGGGCGUAAAGGGCGCGUAGGCGGCUUGUAUAGUCGGAUGUGAAAUUCCUGGGCUUAACCUGGGGGCUGCAUACGAGACGUAUGGGCUUGAGUGCGGAAGAGGGUCGUGGAAUUCCCAGUGUAGAGGUGAAAUGCGCAGAUAUCAGGAGGAACACCAAUUGCGAAGGCAGCUCGCUGGGACGUUACUGACGCUGAGACGCGAAAGCGUGGGGAGCAAACAGG